GCCAGACUCCUACGGGAGGCAGCAGUGGGGAAUAUUGGACAAUGGGCGCAAGCCUGACCCAGCAACGCCGCGUGAAGGAAGAAGGCUUUCGGGUUGUAAACUUCUUUUCUGGGGGACGAACAAAUGACGGUACCCCAGGAAUAAGCCACGGCUAACUACGUGCCAGCAGCCGCGGUAAUACGUAGGUGGCAAGCGUUAUCCGGAUUUAUUGGGUGUAAAGGGCGUGUAGGCGGGAAUGCAAGUCAGAUGUGAAAACUCAGGGCUCAACCCUGAGCCUGCAUUUGAAACUGUGUUUCUUGAGUGCUGGAGAGGCAAUCGGAAUUCCGUGUGUAGCGGUGAAAUGCGUAGAUAUACGGAGGAACACCAGUGGCGAAGGCGGAUUGCUGGACAGUAACUGACGCUGAGGCGCGAAAGCGUGGGGAGCAAACAGGAUUAGAUACCCUCGUAC
This 448-nucleotide ribosomal RNA is filed under the name uncultured bacterium. Its description in RNAcentral is "bacterial SSU rRNA". It matches the Rfam family "Bacterial small subunit ribosomal RNA", at positions 330 to 793 of the family's 1533-position model. The record is from RNAcentral.